UGGUGCUUUGAGUUUUUUCAUCAUUGCUUAGCUUCUAAUUAUUAACUAAUUAUAACUAACUAUUUAUUGACUUACAGGUUGCAAUGCUUUCAUGAAAUUGCCUCUGUCUUCAACUAUUUCUUGAGGUUGAACCGCAGAUAUUGGUCCGUUAUUCACCCUGGGAGGCACCAACAGCUUGAAGCUAAAACGCUGAUCUCUCUCCAUUCUGGAAUAGCCAUACAGCAAUAACCUAGUUAUUUAAUAAUGCCGUGUUUUAAACCAAGACAUCUUUAAUAAACACCACAGAAAUGCCAGAAGACUACAAAUAACUAUUAUCUUCCCUUUUUACCUAAUAUUCACAAGUCAAAUAACCCUAAACAUUAGCUAGUUAGCUAACAGUAAUUAGCUUUUUAUUUGUGAGUCAACUAGGCUCGCAGACAACAGCUAACAGUUACCUCCGGUAUAUUAGAGCAGCGUUAAUUCCCACAAAAUACAAGAUAAAAAACCAAUAAUAAUAGUCAGUAGUUUAGAAUGUUACUUAAUAAACAUCAAUGUGGUAAUUUACUAGGUACUACGUGUAAACUAUGACAUUUUUUUUAAACGUUACCUGUUAAACUUGGUUAACGGUUAUAACGCGACCACCCUGCACGAGGCGAGGAAGGACUCUUGACCAACUGUUUAAGUGAAGACUAUUCUUCUGUCGUUCAGCAGCCGAUAGUUCAGCCCCAUUCCUGCAAACAGGAAGACACUAGCAACUAUGAGGAUGAUCCCACAGCCCUGUAGUGCAAGGGCUGGUACUGACUGAAAAACUACAGACCCUACAUGCUCAUGGCUUUUCACUUACAAGCUUGAAAAGGGCUUUAUCGUCAUCUGAUUGACCAGCCCAGAGUGACAUCAUGAAGUGUCUCAUUCAUCUCAUCAGUGCAAGAACACAAACAAAACCCCUGGUGGUCUUCCAGUCUCAAAGCACAAGAGAAAAGAAUGGCUCACCUCCGCCGUACGUGACGGCUAACAUGAUGGAGGAGAUCCAGGACACCUGGCUACUUGUCACAUUGAAGAUCACCUCAAUCUCUUUGAAGAAGACAGUGAUGGACUUGGGAAAUGCGUAGGAGAAGCCAAUAGAGAUGAAGGCUCCAAUCACCACCAUCCAUCCCCAGCCACCCUCAGGUGGUGUGUAGCCUUGAGGACCACCGACGGCUGGUGGCAUUGUUCUUCGCAAAUCUCCUCUUAAAACUCAAGAAAUUUUACAGAUACAAUGACUGUUUAGGAG
Molecule: long non-coding RNA, 1249 nt
Organism: Haplochromis burtoni (Burton's mouthbrooder)
Lineage: Eukaryota; Metazoa; Chordata; Actinopteri; Cichliformes; Cichlidae
Exons: 5
Source: RefSeq, a predicted model, not a curated record